This 615-nucleotide ribosomal RNA is filed under the name uncultured bacterium. RNAcentral describes it as "bacterial SSU rRNA". It matches the Rfam family "Bacterial small subunit ribosomal RNA", at positions 338 to 944 of the family's 1533-position model. The record is from RNAcentral.
CCUACGGGAGGCAGCAGUGGGGAAUUUUGGACAAUGGGCGAAAGCCUGAUCCAGCAAUGCCGCGUGAGUGAAGAAGGCCUUCGGGUUGUAAAGCUCUUUUGUCAGGGAAGAAACGGUGAGGGCUAAUAUCCCUUGCUAAUGACGGUACCUGAAGAAUAAGCACCGGCUAACUACGUGCCAGCAGCCGCGGUAAUACGUAGGGUGCAAGCGUUAAUCGGAAUUACUGGGCGUAAAGCGUGCGCAGGCGGUUUUGUAAGUCUGUCGUGAAAUCCCCGGGCUCAACCUGGGAAUUGCGAUGGAGACUGCAAGGCUAGAAUCUGGCAGAGGGGGGUAGAAUUCCACGUGUAGCAGUGAAAUGCGUAGAGAUGUGGAGGAACACCGAUGGCGAAGGCAGCCCCCUGGGUCAAGAUUGACGCUCAUGCACGAAAGCGUGGGGAGCAAACAGGAUUAGAUACCCUGGUAGUCCACGCCCUAAACGAUGUCUACUAGUUGUCGGGUUUUAAUUAACUUGGUAACGCAGCUAACGCGUGAAGUAGACCGCCUGGGGAUACGGUCGCAAGNUUAAAACUCAAAUGAAUUGACGCUGAGACCNGCGAGACGACGACGAGGAGGAGG